This 253-nucleotide ribosomal RNA is filed under the name uncultured bacterium. RNAcentral describes it as "partial 16S ribosomal RNA". It matches the Rfam family "Bacterial small subunit ribosomal RNA", at positions 524 to 776 of the family's 1533-position model. The record is from RNAcentral.
UACGUAGGGGGCAAGCGUUGUCCGGAUUUAUUGGGCGUAAAGCGCGCGCAGGCGGUCCUUUAAGUCUGAUGUGAAAGCCCACGGCUCAACCGUGGAGGGUCAUUGGAAACUGGGGGACUUGAGUACAGAAGAGGAAAGCGGAAUUCCACGUGUAGCGGUGAAAUGCGUAGAGAUGUGGAGGAACACCAGUGGCGAAGGCGGCUUUCUGGUCUGUAACUGACGCUGAGGCGCGAAAGCGUGGGGAGCAAACAGG